UUCCGGUUGAUCCCGCCGGAGGCUACCGCUAUUGGAGUUCGAUUAAGCCAUGCGAGUCGAGAGUCUUAGGGACUCGGCGCACCGCUCAGUAACACGUGGGUAACCUGCCCUAUGCUUGGGAAUAACCUCGGGAAACUGAGAAUAAUGCCCAAUAGUCCACUACGCCUGGAACGGUGAGUGGAUCAAAGCCCCGGCGGCAUAGGAUGGGCCUGCGCCGUAUCAGGUUGUAGGGGGUGUAAAGUACCCUCUAGCCAUCAACGCGUACGGGUGUUGGGAGACAUUGCCCGGAGAUGGAUUCUGAGACACGAAUCCAGACCCUACGGGGUGCAGCAGGCGCGAAAACUUGGCAAUGCGAGCAAUCGUGACCAGGGAACUCCAAGUGCGUAGGGUAAGACCUACGCUUUUCUUGACUCUACAAAGGUCUUGGAAUAAGGGGUGGGUAAGGACGGUGCCAGCCGCCGCGGUAAUACCGGCGCCUCAAGUGGUAGUCGCUUUUAUUGGGCCUAAAACGUCCGUAGCCGGUCUGGUGCAUUCGUGGGUAAAUCAACCCGCUCAACGGGUUGAAUUCUGCGAGCACGGCCAGACUUGGGACCGGGAGAGGUGUGGGGUACUUUCGGGGUAGGGGUAAAAUCCUGUCAUCCCGAAAGGACCACCUGUUGCGAAGGCGCCACACUAGAACGGAUCCGACGGUCAGGGACGAAACCUAGGGGCACGAACCGGAUUAGAUACCCGGGUAGUCCUAGGUGUAAACGCUGUGGACUUGAUGUUGGGGGUGCUCCGAGCUCCCUCAGUGUCGAAGCGAAGGUGAUAAGUCCACUGCCUGGGGAGUACGGUCGCAAGGCUGAAACUUAAAGGAAUUGGCGGGGGAGCACUGCAACCUGAGGAUUGUGCGGUUUAAUUGGAUUCAACGCCGGA
Molecule: ribosomal RNA, 915 nt
Filed under: uncultured archaeon
Lineage: Archaea
Description: bacterial SSU rRNA
Rfam family: Archaeal small subunit ribosomal RNA
Source: RNAcentral